AACGAACGCUGGUGGUAUGCUUAAUACAUGCAAGUCGAACGGGCAUAGCAAUAUGUCAGUGGCAAAUGGGUGAGGAAUAUAUAGGAACCUCCCUAGCAGUAAGGAAUAACUUUGGGAAACCAAAGCUAAUGCCAUAUAUUACCCCUUAAGAAAUUAAGGGGGAAAGAUUUAUCGCUGUUAGAUGGGCCUGUAUCAGAUUAGCUAGUUGGUAGGGUAAUGGCCUACCAAGGCAAUGAUCUGUAGCUAGUCUGAGAGGAUGAUCAGCCGCACUGGAACUGAGACACGGUCCAGACUCCUACGGGAGGCAGCAGUAGGGAAUAUUGGACAAUGGGCGCAAGCCUGAUCCAGCAAUACCACGUGAGUGAUGAAGGUCUUCGGAUUGUAAAGCUCUUUUAGUAGGGAAGAUAAUGACGGUACCUACAGAAAAAGCACCGGCUAACUUCGUGCCAGCCGCCGCGGUAA
Molecule: ribosomal RNA, 462 nt
Filed under: uncultured bacterium
Lineage: Bacteria
Description: partial 16S ribosomal RNA
Rfam family: Bacterial small subunit ribosomal RNA
Source: RNAcentral